UACAGCGGUGGCAAGCGUUGUUCGGAAUUACUGGGCGUAAAGGGCGCGUAGGCGGCCAUCUAAGUCAGACGUGAAAUCCCCCGGCUUAACCUGGGAACUGCGUCUGAUACUGGGAGGCUUGAGUAUGGGAGAGGGAUGUAGAAUUCCAGGUGUAGCGGUGAAAUGCGUAGAUAUCUGGAGGAAUACCGGUGGCGAAGGCGGCAUCCUGGACCAUUACUGACGCUGAGGCGCGAAAGCUAGGGGAGCAAACGGG
This 253-nucleotide ribosomal RNA is filed under the name uncultured bacterium. RNAcentral's name for it is "partial 16S ribosomal RNA". It matches the Rfam family "Bacterial small subunit ribosomal RNA", at positions 524 to 776 of the family's 1533-position model. The record is from RNAcentral.